This 473-nucleotide ribosomal RNA is filed under the name uncultured bacterium. RNAcentral's name for it is "bacterial SSU rRNA". It matches the Rfam family "Bacterial small subunit ribosomal RNA", at positions 33 to 507 of the family's 1533-position model. The record is from RNAcentral.
AGGACACGCUGGCGGCGUGCUUAACACAUGCAAGUCGAACGGACGAGUGAGAUAAGUUUACUUAACUCACAAGUUAGUGGCGGACGGGUGAGUAACACGUGGAUAAUCUACCUGCAACACCGGGAUAACGCUGUGAAAACGGUGCUAAUACCGGAUACGUUCCCUUGUGCGCAUGUAUGAGGGAAGAAAGCUCAGGCGGUUGCAGAUGAGUCCGCGGCUGAUUAGCUAGUUGGUGAGGUAAAGGCUCACCAAGGCGAUGAUCAGUAGCCGGCCUGAGAGGGUGAACGGCCACACUGGGACUGAGACACGGCCCAGACUCCUACGGGAGGCAGCAGUGGGGAAUCUUCCGCAAUGGGCGCAAGCCUGACGGAGCAACGCCGCGUGGGUGAAGAAGGCCUUCGGGUUGUAAAGCCCUGUCUUAUGGGAAGAAGUCAGUGACGGUACCAUAGGAGGAAGCCACGGCUAACUACGUG